CUCCUUUUUUUCAGAUGGGCCAGAGGGCAGACGGGCCGGUCGACCGGGGAGCUCGGCCCCUUUCUCGGUUUUUUUUUUGGCUUCGUGGGCCGGGAGUCCCGGCCUGAGGGGCUUCUCUUCUUCUUGUGCAGGCUGGGUGGCCCGAGGGGCUCGGCGCGCUUUCUUUGUCUUUUUCGGAAUUUUCCGUGCUUUGCUAAUUUUUUGUGGGUCUUUUUGCAGGUGAGAUGGCGGGACCCGAUGUCGAGCGUUCGGUGGGCGAGCCAGCGAGGGGGCCUUCGGCGGUGCA
RNAcentral lists this long non-coding RNA (286 nucleotides) under Brachypodium distachyon (stiff brome). Its description in RNAcentral is "long non-coding RNA (BDIS_LNC003511)". Lineage: Eukaryota; Viridiplantae; Streptophyta; Magnoliopsida; Poales; Poaceae. The record is from RNAcentral.